GGCAAGUCUGGUGCCAGCAGCCGGGAAAAUCCAGCUCCAAUAGCGUAUAUUAAAGUUGUUGCAGUUAAAAAGCUCGUAGUUGAACUUCGGGAUCAAUGGAUUGGUCAUGCCGUUGGUAUGUACUGGUCAUAUUGGUUCUCACCUUCUAAGGAACCAUAAUGUCAUUCAUUUGAUGUUUUGGGGAAUUAGGACUGUUACCUUGAAAAAAUUAGAGUGUUUAAAGCAGGC
This 228-nucleotide ribosomal RNA is filed under the name Septoglomus viscosum. RNAcentral's name for it is "partial 18S ribosomal RNA". It matches the Rfam family "Eukaryotic small subunit ribosomal RNA", at positions 554 to 785 of the family's 1831-position model. Lineage: Eukaryota; Fungi; Glomeromycota; Glomeromycetes; Glomerales; Glomeraceae. The record is from RNAcentral.